AAAUCCCAAAAUGUUCCUGAAAUGGGGUUACUUCUGUCCCAAUUGAGACAGACGUUUCAAAUUCCAAAUAAGAGGUAGUAGGGUACAACAGCACAGAAGGUACUUUAAGGAAGCUUGAGUCCUCAGAUGCAGAAGAAUUUUUUUCCAAACUGGAAUCAGAAUCCAGAAAAGGCUGAUAGGAAAUACCAACAAUGUUGACAUUCCCAGUUUCAAUGGGCACAGGAGAACCCUCAUUCAUUAAAUCAGGAAUAUCCAACUUGCUCAGCAUCCCAACUCCAGAAACAAAGUUCACAAUCUACUGAAGAGCACAGUAAGCAUGACCUUUAAAAAGCUAUACGGUAAAUGUCAUGAGGGGAGAAGUACUGCACACAUGGGAGCCCAGAGCACGAGCAACUAGUCCAGACUUGGUAGAAGUGAGAGCACAGAAGGGUUUUCUAUAAACAUACUGCCUAAGACUGUAAAUGAAAACGAGACAGCACCUUGAGGACAAAAUGCACUUCAGUCAAAAUGAACGUUUUUGGAUCUGAUUUUACAACUAUGUAAAUUAAAAAGGUUCAGACCAGCUGAUAUGAGAUCUCUGUCAGAUCUAAAAUCCCACAUUGCUGUGUUCUACAACAGAAGAAUGAGUGGGAAAAAAAACAGGUAGACCAACCUUGAGGCUUUUCUGGUAAAAGAUGAGAAAGACUAUGGCCAAGAAACCAACUUAGACCAAAACUAGUAUGAGGGCAUUAUAACAAAGAGGCAGAAAUGUCUACCGUCCCUUAUUUCAAAAUUACUGAGGCUCGCUCUGGGCCUGCCCUCUAUUCCCUCAGAUUCCACCUCUCAGCCCUCCUUUAGGCCCUUAAAUACAGCAAGGACUUCAUCCUCACACCCUCCCAAAGGGUCUGCUCAAGCCAUGGGAUCUACAUUACCCUUGGGAUAUUUUUCUUAGAAACACAGCCUCACGUGACAAGUUCUAUAAUUUUCUUUGCUCAAAGCUAUACUGCAGAUACAUUAUGGAUUAAAUUGACUUUCGUGCACUGGCCUGGAGUCCCAUCCGGCAGGUCCAAUGCUAUGGGGAAAAAGACAGAGUUCCACACCAAUGAUUUCCAAACCACCAUCUGGAAAACUGUCCAUUCACAAAUGGUGUCUGCCAGCAGAAGAGUGGUACUUGUAUUUUUUUUAAUGGCUAUUAACGGAAUAUAAAACAGGUGGUUAUGGCACUAUUUCUGGGCUUCAAAUUAAAAGGUAACUAAAAGCUGCAAUUUUAAGGCACUCAAACAGUAUGUAUUUUAGCCCAAACAUCUGGCAGUUGAAUGAUUUCAAAACUCUAGAGAAAAAUCAGGAGGAGAGAGGAAAGGUAGGCAUGAUUAUGAGGCUCUGUUGCUUCACAGUCUGAGACUUCUGACACUCCUUUUCUCUAUAAGGUCAGUCCUCUCCUAUAAUUUAUGUAUCUACCUUGAGGCUGACUUAUUUCCUGUUCCCCAACUCACGCCCCCAAAAUAAGACCCAUAAUUACAGUUAAAUCACAGGCUGCAGAGUGAGAAUCUCAGUACGUCUGAGGUGUGCCUGAGCUGUCUACAGUACAUGUGUUGUGAAUGACUGUUCCAUUCUCCCCAAGUUCUCCGUCCACCUCAUAACCUUCAGAUUCUGAAUGUUUGACUCACCCCCACAAGAUUCAAUACCCUGAAUCCCUCGCUGUGAUGUGAACUCACAACAGUAUUUUAGCUGCUUUCUAAAAUGGAGCAUUCAUUCACAUAUCAUUCAACAAAUUGUCCUGAAGACAGCGCACUGGAGACCCAAGACUGUGCCCUCACAGAGCUCCCCAGAAUCUGACCUUGGCUGACCUCCCCCCCAACUGAAAUCCUUCCUCCUCUGUAAAUUCUUCCAGACACAGAUAAACAGAUAAUAUAUGUGUGGAUAUAAAAACACAUUUACACACACAUAUAAACACAUGCCCAGUGAUACUUUCCAAAAGUAAACUCAUCAUUUCAUUUCAACUCCUUACUAUGAACUAACACCAUGUUACUAACACCCACUCCUCCUCUAAUUCUGUGUCUCUGUCCACACUGGCAUCUGUGCCACAUGAUUGUGCCCCAGGACCUUCUAAGUGAAUGUUCCUUCUGCCCAGAAAGUUCUUUCCUCAGACUUGCUCAUGCCCAACUCCCGGAUAUCAUCUGGGUCUUUGCUCAAAUGCUACCCAAUAGAGACACCUUUCAUAUCCACCCUACCUAGACUCACCACUUCCAUUAUGGUGAGUCCCUCCCCAUUUUAUUUUUACUUCAAAGCAUAUUAUAUAUUAAUCUAUAUAUUUUCUGCCCUCCCCAUUAGAAUACAACCCUAUGUAAGUAGAGACACAUUUAGACAUGCAAACAAGAUUCUGAAAAGUGAUGACACGACUAAGUUGUUCUAAUAAUUAUAUUUUAAAUUAUUUUUACAACAUAUAAAUAUACGCAUUAUUGUCAGAAAUGUUAGAGCACUAUUGUUAAGUGAAAAAAAUUCAAGUUCCAAACUCUUGAAGAAGAACUUUUACUUUUAUAAAAAUAUUUAGACAUGAAGACAUAUUUAGACACACCCAUAGGGAAUCAUUUGAAAGAAUGAUAUAUGUUUCUGAGUGGGUAGGGUUAUGAGUGUGCUUUUGCUUUUUCGUCCUCUUAUAAUUUUAUACCUGUUUUGUAAAAGCAAAUAUUACUAUCAAAAAGAGAAAAAAUACAAAGUAGCAUAGUUGAUGAAAAAGAAAGCAAAAACAAGUGAGUGCAAAAAAUGCAAGCAAUUAAAUAACAAAAUACGAAUACUGCAAAUAUUACCUAAUGUUAAUUCCUUUGCAUCAUAAUAUAUGCAACAUUGCCAAAAAUUUUUUAUUUGCCUACUUAGAACAAUGAAACACCAUAAUUACAGUUCACAUUUUCAGCUUUUACUGAUAAAAAGCACAAUGCCAUCCUUCCAUCCUGUGAAUGCUCCUUUGUGCUUUGACAAGACAAUAAAAGGCAAGAGAGUUUACAUCUCACCUAAUUUGUCCCCAGUUAUUAAAACAUCAAAUUCAAAACAUUUCAUUCUUUGUCAUAAGAAGCAUAGUAGUUACAAGA
This 3065-nucleotide long non-coding RNA is filed under the name Homo sapiens (human). Its description in RNAcentral is "HSALNT0313031". The record is from RNAcentral. Lineage: Eukaryota; Metazoa; Chordata; Mammalia; Primates; Hominidae.